This 61-nucleotide transfer RNA is filed under the name uncultured Faecousia sp. It matches the Rfam family "tRNA", at positions 6 to 65 of the family's 71-position model. Rfam says of the family: Transfer RNA (tRNA) molecules are approximately 80 nucleotides in length. Their secondary structure includes four short double-helical elements and three loops (D, anti-codon, and T loops). The record is from RNAcentral. Lineage: Bacteria; Bacillati; Bacillota; Clostridia; Eubacteriales; Oscillospiraceae.
AAUGGCUAAGUGGUCAAAGCGCCGGGUUCAUAGCCCGGGGACGCGGGUUCGAUUCCCGUUU